UGUGUAGCUCAGUUGGUAGAGCAUCUGACUUUUAAUCAGAGGGCCCUGGGUUCGAGUCCCAGCAC
Molecule: transfer RNA, 65 nt
Filed under: human gut metagenome
Also listed under: 1 other name
Rfam family: tRNA
About the family: Transfer RNA (tRNA) molecules are approximately 80 nucleotides in length. Their secondary structure includes four short double-helical elements and three loops (D, anti-codon, and T loops). Further hydrogen bonds mediate the characteristic L-shaped molecular structure. tRNAs have two regions of fundamental functional importance: the anti-codon, which is responsible for specific mRNA codon recognition, and the 3' end, to which the tRNAs corresponding amino acid is attached (by aminoacyl-tRNA synthetases). tRNAs cope with the degeneracy of the genetic code in two manners: having more than one tRNA (with a specific anti-codon) for a particular amino acid; and 'wobble' base-pairing, i.e. permitting non-standard base-pairing at the 3rd anti-codon position.
Source: RNAcentral